UCUUUGAAGGUGUUACCUAGUUCACUGAUGUCAUCUAUGAACAGAUUUUCUUACCCUACACUCUGAAAUUUGGACCAUGGCCAGAAGUUUGCUUAUCCUUUUUGUAAUUGAGAUGCUUGAAUCCCUGUCAAUUGACCAGCUUAUGAAAGUGGAACAAACGUUUCUUUUAAACCUUUCCAGCCAUAUUGCAGAAUCAGAAUACUUAUGGGAUUGGGGGGGGGAAGCCCAACCCUAGCUUUGCCAGCAGAAAACUGAAAGGUAAAACAUAAACCCAAAAGUGUGGAAUUCAACAGAACUUAAAAUAAUACUGUUACAUGUUUUGUUUGCCUUUCCAGAGAGAGAGAUAUUCCUUGCUCGUGCAAAGAAAGGCAAAGAUUUUUUUCCCCAGCUCUAGCAGUGGCACCUUCUGCUGUCAGAAUUGGUGGCUUAGAUUCUCAAGAUACUUCAGGCUUCAAUAUUUAUGCUCCUUAAUUGAGGGUACAAGGCUGAUCUGCUUGCUUAUGUGAUGCUGGGUGUAGUAGCUGAGCUUCAUAUACUGGCUCCUGGUAGCAAAGAUGAAGCUGCUGGGCGUGAGUGCAAGAAGGUGAAGGAGCGUGGAGGAGCAGUGGCUCUCGUGGCCUUGUUGACAUCCUGGGAAAUGAGAUUCCUGAGCGUGAAAGAGCCCAGCAGGCAAAUACCCACUCCCCAAAGUGUGCUGUCUUCAGGUACUGGAGCAAAACUUGGCAGCUUCAGGAGUCCAUGCUUGGGUUCAUUUGUACUGGACAUCUGCCCAAACUCUCCCCAGUUUGUUCAGGCUGUUUCCAAGGCCCACAAGGCUUGGCCUGAAAAACUAUUA
Pezoporus occidentalis (night parrot) is the source of this 835-nucleotide long non-coding RNA. RefSeq lists it as uncharacterized. The record is from RefSeq and is a predicted model, not a curated record. The transcript has 3 exons. NCBI's taxonomy places the organism in Eukaryota, Metazoa, Chordata, Aves, Psittaciformes, Psittacidae.